UUACCUAACUAUCACUAACAUCGAUGUUUUUCCCGAUAGUCUGGUAAUGUGCAAUACAUUUAGACAUAUGAAAAAUGUUAGAGGGAACUACCUAUAAUCUGUGCACAUUACCAAACUAUCGUUAACAUCGAUGUUGGAGGGAAAUAUUGUUAUUGAAAUAUUGUUAUGUUGAUUUGUAUUGAAGAACAGGACACCGAAGCUUGGACAAAAACACGAAUUGUAUUGCCAUGGAUGAGAGAACAGCUUUUGAAAAAUUAAAAUUGGAUAAUAAAAAGAAAAUGCGAAAUAUGCAUCGGAUGUUGGAGGGAAAUAUUGUAAUUGUUGAUUUGCAUUGAAGAACAUGACACCGAAAGCUUGGACAGAAACACGAAUUGUAUUGCCAUGGAUGGGAGAAAAACUCUUGAAAAAUGAAAAUUGGAUACUAAAAAGAAAAUGCGAAAUAUGCAUCGGAUGUCGGAGAGAAAUUUUGUAAUUGUUGAUUUGUAUUGCAGAACAGGACACCGGAAGCUUGGACAGAAACACGAAUUGUAUUGUCAUGGAUGGGAUAAUAAAAACAAAAUACGAAAUAUGCAUCGGAUUCUCUUCAAAUUUUACGCAUCCUAAUAUUGAUGACACAUGAUCGGAGUGAAAAUGGGAUAUAUGUUCAACCUCCUCCACAACGAGUCAGCAUUUUGAAUAACAGAGCGGUAAUAAAAAGCAUUGAAGAACAAGACACCUGGAGCUUAGACAGAAACACGAAUUGUAUUGCCAUGGAUGGGAGAAAAA
Musca domestica (house fly) is the source of this 765-nucleotide long non-coding RNA. RefSeq lists it as uncharacterized. The transcript has 5 exons. The record is from RefSeq and is a predicted model, not a curated record. NCBI's taxonomy places the organism in Eukaryota, Metazoa, Arthropoda, Insecta, Diptera, Muscidae.